This 801-nucleotide ribosomal RNA is filed under the name Triticum aestivum (bread wheat). RNAcentral describes it as "partial small subunit ribosomal RNA". The record is from RNAcentral. Lineage: Eukaryota; Viridiplantae; Streptophyta; Magnoliopsida; Poales; Poaceae.
AUGCUACAGCUCACAAGGUUGAAACUGGAAGCAAGCGUGGUAGUGCUAACCGUGCAUCGCGGGGGCAGGACAAACAUCAUGCAGGCUUCGAGGUCAACACGCGCACGCAAGACUAGCAGAGCCAAGACCCACUUUCCCCGGCUGGCUGAGAUUUUAAAUAUGCCGCAACCGGGCAACGAUCAGCUCACACAUCACGCGGAGUCUCGAGGAGCAGCUCUCCUACUGUCACACUGCCUACUACUCGAACUGUACGCUAUUACCGGUGUAGUUCAGUGCUCUCUGCUGUCUGCUCCGCCUACGUACACAGCUCGAUCGAUCGAUGAUGUACCGGAGGAUAGCCGCCCGGCUGCUCGUCGUCGUCGCCGCCGCCGUCCUACUAUCCCUGCUGCUGGCCACCUGCGCGGCCGCCCCGCAUGGCCUGCCGCCGCCGCCGCGUCCUCCUCCGGUGCUGCUCCUAGGCGGCGGCCGGAGCCCGGCGCGCGAGGGGAAGGAGCUGGAUCUGGGAACGCCCGCGAGGCGGCUGGGGCAGCAUACAUCGACGAAUGUGCCUCCCUCGCCGAAACCCCACGGCAACCCGGGGUCGGCGGGGCCCGACCCGCCGCCGCCGCCGCCGUCGAGCAACGAGUAGGGCGAGGAGGCUCCGUGGUACCAGCACGCGACGGUGGCCGUGGGUUUCGGUACGAUGUAUCAUGUAUGGUACUCCAUGUACAAGGGACGGCUAGCUGCAUGUCAUGUACGAGAACACUUUCGCCAGUGUACAAGUCAAUAAGCUCGUUUCGAAAAGAAAAAAAAUGCCAAUAA